RNAcentral lists this ribosomal RNA (490 nucleotides) under uncultured bacterium. RNAcentral's name for it is "partial 16S ribosomal RNA". It matches the Rfam family "Bacterial small subunit ribosomal RNA", at positions 30 to 507 of the family's 1533-position model. The record is from RNAcentral.
AUUGAACGCUGGCGGCAGGCCUAACACAUGCAAGUCGAAUGGUAACAGGAAACAGCUUGCUGUUUCGCUGACGAGUGGCGGACGGGUGAGUAAUGUCUGGGAAACUGCCUGAUGGAGGGGGAUAACUACUGGAAACGGUAGCUAAUACCGCAUAACGUCGCAAGACCAAAGAGGGGGACCUUCGGGCCUCUUGCCAUCAGAUGUGCCCAGAUGGGAUUAGCUAGUAGGUGGGGUAACGGCUCACCUAGGCGACGAUCCCUAGCUGGUCUGAGAGGAUGACCAGCCACACUGGAACUGAGGCACGGUCCAGACUCCUACGGGAGGCAGCAGUGGGGAAUAUUGCACAAUGGGCGCAAGCCUGAUGCAGCCAUGCCGCGUGUAUGAAGAAGGCCUUCGGGUUGUAAAGUACUUUCAGCGGGGAGGAAGGGAGUAAAGUUAAUACCUUGGCUCAUUGACGUUACCCGCAGAAGAAGCACCGGCUAACUCCGUG